AGGACAUAUCAUGGAUCUUCACGGUUUGCGGCCUGUCCGUCAGGAAGUCCGAGACCCAAUUGCAGAGGGUGGAGCUCAGUCCAAGAGCACUGAUCUUGUGGAUCAGUGUCUGUGGAAUGAUUGUAUUAAAGGCAGAUGUAAAAUCCACGAAAAGAAGGCGGACAUAGGAGUCUUUAUUCUCUAGGUGGGUGAGAGCUGUGUGGACCACAGAAGAUAUGGCAUCCUCUGUGGAUCGGUUCUUUCUGUGUGCAUAAGGAACAGCUUCUUGUGCUAUUUUAAUUAAACUGUUAUAUAAAAGUAAUCUGAAAUACAAAAGUUCGUUCUUUGGAAUUCAGAAAAAUCUUUUUAUUAUUUUUUUUUUUUAUUUCAUAGUUUGUUUUUGUCUUUUCUGACUCUCCUAUGUAAAGGACUUACCUUUGGCAUCUACAGCAUCAAUGUUGAGGGAGGUGAUGCCAAUACUCCAUAAAGUCUAAACUCUUCACAAACAUAAAAACACAAGGAAAAUUAGCAAUGAAAUACAACAUCACAUAGUAAUUGAUUUUUUUGGGGGGGUGGGGGGAUCGUGGGAGGAAACCGGAGCACGCGGAGAAAACCCAACAUGGAGAACAUGCAAACUGAAGAAGAAGAAGAAGAGGAAGGACAGAAGGGUCCAGACUGGGAUUCAAACCUGGAACCCUCUGGCUAUGAGGCAACAGUGCAAACCAUUGCAUCACCAUGCCACACCCAUCCACGUGAUUACUGCAAGCCAAGGUUUCCCCGCAGAACAUUGCAUCGUAAAGAUAGGAUUAACGUUAUUCACAUCACCUUUCAGUGAUUUUAAUGUUGUAACUGAUCAGUGUAUGUAAA
Long non-coding RNA from Scatophagus argus, 846 nucleotides. RefSeq lists it as uncharacterized. The record is from RefSeq and is a predicted model, not a curated record. NCBI's taxonomy places the organism in Eukaryota, Metazoa, Chordata, Actinopteri, Scatophagidae. The transcript is spliced from 2 exons.